RNAcentral lists this ribosomal RNA (432 nucleotides) under uncultured bacterium. RNAcentral describes it as "partial 16S ribosomal RNA". It matches the Rfam family "Bacterial small subunit ribosomal RNA", at positions 29 to 506 of the family's 1533-position model. The record is from RNAcentral.
AACGAACGCUGGCGGCAUGCCUAACACAUGCAAGUCGAACGAAGGCUUCGGCCUUAGUGGCGCACGGGUGCGUAACGCGUGGGAAUCUGCCCUUAGGUUCGGAAUAACAGUUAGAAAUGACUGCUAAUACCGGAUGAUGACGUAAGUCCAAAGAUUUAUCGCCUGAGGAUGAGCCCGCGUAGGAUUAGCUAGUUGGUGUGGUAAAGGCGCACCAAGGCGACGAUCCUUAGCUGGUCUGAGAGGAUGAUCAGCCACACUGGGACUGAGACACGGCCCAGACUCCUACGGAAGGCAGAAGGGGGGAAUAUUGGACAAGGGGCGAAAGCCUGAACCAGCAAGGCCGGGUGAGUGAUGAAGGCCUUAGGGUUGUAAAGCUCUUUUACCCGGGAUGAUAAUGACAGUAGGGGGAAAAAAAGCCCCGGCUAACUCCGG